AAGGUAAAUGCUAUCGUUGCCUUCAACCAGGCCAUAAAGUGGCAGAUUGCAGGGAUCCGCUUCGUUGUUGGGUUUGCAAAAGAUUCGGCCAUCUCUCUUCAGCCUGCAGAGAGCGUCGCUAUAAAUUCCAGCAAUCAGAGCAGCUUUCACCACCUCUUUCGCACCCACCUUCACCACCACUGCUCUCCUCCUCAGCCUUCCCCCCCCCCCCUCACCACCUCCACUGCCCCGACCUCCAUGGCUUCAGUCCCCAGUGGUCUGGUCUCUCGACCAGAUUUUGGUAGCUGCAUGGUGGCGGCGACAAGCGAGAUGGAAAGACUGAAGCAACUCUUCACGGCAGGAUCAGUGGUGACUUGGUCAGAUGAGGGCCAGAAGGUGGAAAUCGGCACCUUUGCCGAUGACAUCCGCUCGGCUUUCCACAUCCAUCGUUCCGACAUUCAGAUCACAAAAUUCCAUCCAGUAGAUUUCUUCCUCACUUUCGUUAAUCAUAGCGAUCAUGAGGAGGUUCUACAAGAACCAAGAUUGGUGACCCGAAGCGGAAGAGACCUCUUCUCUCGACAGGGUCGGGUCUUCAUGUGGCACUACGGAGUGCCUGAUGAUGUCACCCGGAUGAGGUCGAUGGCUCACCCAAUUCAAGCCUGCAGAACCCUUCCGGCGCCAGAGAGAAGGUCUGAUGAUGAAGACGACCACGAGCAGCGUUCAAGAAGGAGGCAUAGAAGUCGCUCUCUUUGGAACCGCUUAGGCGGUCAUUCGUCAAGCAAAAGCAGAGAGCCUGGUCUUGACAACCGGAGUUCAUACAAUCAAGAGACAAGGGGAAGACAGAGAGAACGAGCUGCUGACAUCAAUAGAAGUAGAAGCCGACAUCUGUCCAGGUCGGUCGAACCUGGAGAAACAAGAAUCAGGCGUCAAUCGGCGACACCUCCGCAUCUCUCUGACCCUGCUCCAGCAGACAAG
Molecule: long non-coding RNA, 954 nt
Filed under: Oryza sativa aus subgroup
Lineage: Eukaryota; Viridiplantae; Streptophyta; Magnoliopsida; Poales; Poaceae
Description: lncRNA OsN22_01G003820
Source: RNAcentral